GCCCGAAUAGCUCAGCUGGUCAGAGCAACCGCCUUGUAAGCGGUAGGUCGCCGGUUCGAAUCCGGCUUCGGGCUCCA
RNAcentral lists this transfer RNA (77 nucleotides) under Phytoactinopolyspora halophila. RNAcentral describes it as "Phytoactinopolyspora sp. YIM 96934 tRNA-Thr". It matches the Rfam family "tRNA". Rfam says of the family: Transfer RNA (tRNA) molecules are approximately 80 nucleotides in length. Lineage: Bacteria; Bacillati; Actinomycetota; Actinomycetes; Jiangellales; Jiangellaceae. The record is from RNAcentral. RNAcentral also lists the same sequence under 1 other name.